AUGUCUCGAUCAAUAGCUUGGGCCAAUUUGAAAGGUCAAUACAAAAACUUAAGGAGAAAGCCACCUGGAUCUCUAAGUACAAAGGCAGGCUCAGAGUGGAGAAGAGUCUUGUCUGAAGUCACCAAGUGCGUAAGCGGCAAUCACAGAACCAGAAACCAGGACUCCUCCUGCUCAUCAUGCCACCUUGCAGCUUCCUGGAGCUCCAGAUGCCUGGACCCUGAAAUGGUGUCACAGACUUCUGCUUGUGAUUUGCGGCUGAGACUUGGAGCUCCAGCUUUGGCUUCCAGAAUCUCUGAAUUGACAGCCAUCCAUCUCCUGGAGCUGCUGAUUGACAUGGAAUAUACAUAAAGUAUCAUCAAAAAUGACAGGAGACGAGGAAAAAGCCAAAGCAGAGGCCUGAAGGUCCAGCAAACUUGGAGACUCAUGCUCUUAAAAGCAUUUCAUCAUCAACCAUUAUUAUUGCUAUCAGUUAUUUUCAUACUUUCCCAAUAUUGUGGCUAUCAUUGAGGAGAUACCAAAGAAUUAGUCUCUACCUUUUAGGUCUUUCACUGUGGUGUCUGGGAAUGGUUCUGGCAGAGUAAUCACAAGCCCCAGAAUGUUCUGUGAGACUGAUGGUGAAUGCACAAGAGAGAGCCCCGGUAGAGUAGGGUAACCUUUUGAAAUGUUAGUGUUUUGUUUUUGAAUGUAGAAGGUAUGAAGGACAAUAGGCAAAACUUCCCUUUGCAUCUCCUCAGGAGAGUUCUCUGGGCCAGGUCAGGAUUCCAAACUCAGGGACACAUGGGCCUGCACAACUUUAACCUCCAGAGUGUUUGAAAGAGAUGAGAACUAGUAGCCAAUAUUUAGAAACAGAGGCAUCAAACAUGAAAAUUUGAUUUCCAGUCUCUCGAAAGUUUAGAUCUGCCAGCCUCAGUCCACAUGCUAAUACUGGACUGCAGCCGGUGGUGGCUGCUCUGUGGUAUGCUGGAACUGGCUCUCUCCGGCUUUUGAGAGAGAUUUGUCUUCAGCACUUCUGUGUGCAGCAGCUUUACAUUGGUAGGUUGAGAUCAUUGAAGUAGGCCAUGGUGAGAGUAUUUGUACCAUGAAGAUGCUGUAAGUCAGAUUUUUUUUCUCUUGGUAAGCCAGUUAAACAUUUACUAGCAGACCACUGAGGUCACCCCUCUGGAUGGUGUGUUGAGUGUUCAUUCCUCAUACCUAUAAUUUACCAUCAUCUCCCUACUAUGAGGCUGAGUUGCCCACCUUGUCCCUUUGGUUGAUAUUCUGGGUUUAGGAUCCUCUUGCACCAUUUGUUUUUAUUUAAGGGGGCCUCUGUGAAGAAAAAUCCCCCACCUCAGACCUUUGUUAGGAAGGAGAGGCUCAUCAAGGAAAAGGCUCUGAAGUGGAGAAAGGGAGGGUGGUCUUUCUACCUGGAGAGGGGACUGGCUUGCUCUCUGGGGAUGAAAGACUUCCGUGGGCCAGGGACAGUAAGAGUUCAUUCUGAGAGGUGGGAGAUGGGAGAUACACAUUUCUUGUGUGACAGACACCCAGCCCCUGCUUAUGUAGUGUCCCAGUUGUAUGCCCAUGGGGGUAGACCUGGGCACUGUGACCUCAGGACACGGGCUCCCAUUAUAACAGGCAAGGGCACAGGGAAGUCCCAUGCUUCUGAACAGACCACCUGUGCUCUGGAGCUGGGAGUAUGGGACGGAUACCCAAUCGUAGAGCCGACUUCAUGGGCAUGUGACCUGUGCAGUGGUGUAGGGCUUCCUGCUUGGUUUCAUGCUCUGUUGUCAUCAUCUUGAAAUUCUUCAUACUUUUUGAACAAGGGGCCCUGCAUUUUUAUUCUGUACUGGGCUCUAUAAAUUAGGUAGUUUAUCCAUUACUCUAGGAACUGAACAACCGUGGAGUCCUAAUAAGUAAGCAGCAACAAGGAAGGGGUCCCAGUUCGGGGAGAACGAUUGUUCUGAGUGACUGCUAAUCACAGACAACCCCCUGGCACAACAUUCUGUUCCAAAAUCCCUCAUUCUGCUUGUAGCCCCAGCAGCAAUACCUUAUCUGCACACCUUAUCUGCCUGUAACCCCUCCAGUACAACCCUAUAAAACUUCCCUCCAGCCUCUGCCUCUUGGCAGACAGUCCCUUCUGUGCUGUGCUGCCCAUUGCUUUCUUGCCAUCUACCUUUGUACUUUCUCUAAUAAAUCUGCCAUCUUUACCCAUGAUAGUCUUGGUAAAUUCUUUUACCACCUGCGAUGCUGGCCCCAGCCAGUUGCACCUGGAACAACAACAAGAGAUCUGCCUCAAUUAUUCUGCGCUGUAUGAAUUUUCCCAAGACUUCCAGGGUGAUCCCAAGAAGUGGGUUGAGGAAUCUCCUAAAAUUUCCUAUCCACCCCCGUAGCUGGGGCUGACUCACAUUUAUGUGGUCGGAAACACUAAGAAACAUGCUAUUUCUUAGAUGGGUUCAGAGCUGUCCUGCCUAUUGCACUAGAUUGAUUUUUUUUUUCUUUUUUAGCCCUUAGAUGCUGGGGGCUAAACUAGGGGUACAAUGCUGAAGUUUGGUAAUAUAGGAGUGAAUAUGACAAGGCCUCUGCCCAAAAGAAGCUCAGAGUCUAGAGGGAGACAUGCAGAGGUAAACCUACAGCUCUUACUGCAUGUAGCACAUUAGAUCUGAACUCUAAAAAGUGCCAUGGGGAAGCAGAAGCAAGAACAAUUGAUUCUGUGUAAACAGGAUCAGGAGAGUUUGUGGCAAGGGCCUGAAGGCAAAUAAGAGCUCUCUGGGUGAAGAGGGUAGGGAGGUGCAAGCCUGAUGCUUCAUAAAAUCCUCUUGCUUAGGGGUCUGCUAUCUUUUGAUGGUGCUGUAGCUUUUAGCAAUUUCAGAUUCAUCUAGUAGCUUUGUACACACUUAAGUAACUGUCCUGUAUUGUGGCCGUAAUUGGGCCAUAAAACCAUUCUGGAACCUGGUUCCAAAGACCAGUUGGUAAUCAGGUAUUUUCUUGAUUAUGUGGUGGAAUGACAUUGGAAAUACUAGCAGGUGUGUUUUUCCUAUUCCAUUCCUUACCUGGGGACCCUUUCCCAACUGGGCAGCUGGACCCUGGAGCAGCUUUGCCUCAAGGAAGGUAAAUGACAGCAAAAACAAUGGCCAGGCUUUGGGUGUAAAACGCUGAGACUGUGAAGGGCUUCAAGGAAUAGUGAAGUCAGAGGGAGUCACAAAUGGGCUUUCUGUACACUGGUAUUGGAUAGGAUUUUCCAAAACCGGGGGAAGGGAGAGCUGAGGGUAAGUGGGAGUGAAAAGAGGGUGAGGGUCCCAAGAACAUAGGACUAUGUGGUUACCCUUUUUCAGUGUAUCCUUGGAGGAGGAUAGAAGAACAGUCAGUUGAAGGCAGUGAUCCUCAACCUUAUUAAAACUAACAACUCCUUUAUGUAGUAAAUAUUUUAUGAAGUUCUCUUUACU
Molecule: long non-coding RNA, 3419 nt
Organism: Papio anubis (olive baboon)
Lineage: Eukaryota; Metazoa; Chordata; Mammalia; Primates; Cercopithecidae
Source: Ensembl